This 464-nucleotide ribosomal RNA is filed under the name uncultured bacterium. RNAcentral's name for it is "bacterial SSU rRNA". It matches the Rfam family "Bacterial small subunit ribosomal RNA", at positions 330 to 792 of the family's 1533-position model. The record is from RNAcentral.
CCCAGACUCCUACGGGAGGCAGCAGUGAGGAAUAUUGGUCAAUGGGAGGGAUCCUGAACCAGCCAAGCCGCGUGAGGGAAGACGGCCCUAUGGGUUGUAAACCUCUUUUGUCGGAGAACAAAACCCGGGACGUGUCCCGGACUGCGUGUAUCCGAAGAAAAAGCAUCGGCUAACUCCGUGCCAGCAGCCGCGGUAAUACGGAGGAUGCGAGCGUUAUCCGGAUUUAUUGGGUUUAAAGGGUGCGUAGGCGGUCCGGAAAGACAGGUGUAAAGGCCGGGGUCGCAACCCCGGCGAGCCGUUGAAACUGGCUGUCUUGAGAUGUCGAGAGGUAUGCGGAAUGCGCAGUGUAGCGGUGAAAUGCUUAGAUAUUGCGCAGAACUCCGAUUGCGAAGGCAGCAUACCGGCGGCGAUCUGACGCUGAGGCACGAAAGCGUGGGUAUCGAACAGGAUUAGAUCCCCUAGUA